GUGUGUGUGUGCAACCCCCCUCCUCCUUAACUAGCUGGUCAGCAGAGCAGCGGAGGGAUUAGUGAAGCCAGCUCCACUCUCUACUAACAGACGGAGGGGGAUUGCAAUAAGCGUGAAUCAUGCACGUCGUCAUUACUACCGGCUGGGAGUGGAGCCGAAAUUGUGCAAGAUACGGAUAACAGCGAAGAAAGGUCCGUGUGGAUCCAGUCAAGUUUCGUCUCCUUGUUCCGCCGUGAAAAUGCCUCACCAGGGGCUCUGCUGCUGCCGCUGCUGCCUCUCGGACCCGUCGCUUUAUACUGCCUCCCUCACAUGUGCUUUUAUGUUGAAGAAGUAACCAGGAUAUAUUUAGACCUGUAAGGAGUCUGUGAGAGCGAUUUUCCAAAGGACGUACGGAUUUUUUAUUUUCCUUUUCGCCGUGCGGGAAAUUGUCUCAAGUGGAAGAAAGAGGGAGAAAAGUUUUACUGGUUGGUGAAACAUGGGGAACGCAGGGAGCAUGGACCAGCACACUGAUUUCAGAGGACACAACAUGCCUCUGAAACUACCCAUGCCGGAGCCAGGUGAACUGGAGGAAAGGUUUGCAACCGUUUUGAACUCGAUGAAUCUUCCUCCAGACAAAGCGCGACUGUUGCGGCAGUAUGACAAUGAGAAGAAGUGGGAACUCAUCUGCGAUCAGGAGCGAUUCCAAGUGAAAAACCCUCCUCACACGUACCUCCAAAAGUUGAGGAGUUAUCUAGACCCAGCAGUCACACGGAAGAAAUUCAGACGGAGAGUUCAGGAGUCCACCCAAGUCCUGAGAGAACUGGAAAUUUCGUUACGGACCAAUCAUAUAGGGUGGGUGAGAGAAUUCUUAAAUGAAGAGAACAAAGGCCUGGACGUGCUGGUGGAGUAUCUUUCUUUUGCACAGUAUGCCGUCACGUUUGAUGGAGACUGUGCAGAGAACAACCCAGAGGCUGCUAUGGAUAAGUCUAAGCCCUGGAGCCGUUCUAUAGAAGACCUGCAUGGAGGAAACAGCCUACCAUCUUCCAUCACUGGAAACGGCAUCACACGUGGUAGUCGACAUUCCACAAUACGUCAUCUGCUCCUCUGUCUGCCAGUCUUCGACAGCAGGACACCGAGCACACUGAGCUGUCCAAAAUGCUCUCAAAUAAGACGCUGCAACACACUUCCAAGCCGAAGAACUCUGAAAAACUCCAGACUGGUUUGCAAGAAAGACGAUGUCCACGUCUGCAUCAUGUGCCUGCGUGCUAUCAUGAACUACCAGUAUGGCUUCAACUUGGUCAUGUCACACCCACAUGCUGUGAAUGAAAUUGCACUAAGUCUCAACAAUAAAAACCCAAGAACGAAAGCUCUGGUCUUGGAGCUCCUGGCGGCAGUUUGUCUCGUGAGAGGAGGCCAUGAAAUUAUUCUCUCUGCAUUCGACAACUUUAAGGAGGUGUGCAUUGAGACGCAGAGAUUUGAGAGGCUAAUGGAAUAUUUCAAGAACGAGGACAACAACAUCGACUUCAUGGUGGCCUGUAUGCAGUUCAUCAACAUAGUCGUGCACUCAGUGGAGGACAUGAACUUCAGAGUUCACCUACAGUUUGACUUCACCAAGCUGUGUCUGGACGACUACUUAGACAAACUAAAGCAUACAGAGAGCGAUAAGCUGCAGGUUCAGAUCCAGGCCUACUUGGAUAACGUGUUUGACGUGGGAGCCCUUCUGGAGGAUGCCGAGACCAAAAAUGCUGCCCUGGAGCGUGUGGAGGAGCUGGAGGAGAACAUGUCACAUAUGACAGAGAAGCUGCAGGACACGGAGAACGAGGCCAUGUCCAAGAUUGUGGAGCUGGAAAAGCAGCUUAUGCAAAGGAACAAGGAGCUUGAAUCGAUCAGGGAAGUCUACAAAGACACUAGCUCGCAGGUCCACUCAUUGCGGCAGAUAUUGAAGGAGAAGGACGAGGCCAUCCAGCGACAGAGUAACUUGGAGAAAAAGAUCCACGAACUUGAGAAACAAGGCACCAUCAAGAUCCACAAGAAGGGAGAUGGAGACAUCUUCAUCCUGCCCUCACCCUCCUCUGGUGUGGAGGGAUUGCUGGGUGCUGUGAUAGGAGCAAAUGGCGCAGCAAAUCAUGUGGGAGUGGUAACCGGCACACUGGCUCCACCACCACCACCACCACCUCCACUGCCAGUAAACGGCACAUUGUCAAAUGGACUAUCGGCAGUCAUUCCUGCAGCAGCUCCCCCACCUCCACCACCUCCUCCUCCACCUCCUCCUCCUCCUCCCUCAGGGCCAGCCUCACAGAUCUCAGCACCUCUGCCCCCUCCACCUCCUCCUGUAGCGCCCCCACUGCCCGGCUGUGGGACGCCUACUGUCAUCAUGAACUCUGGGUUAGCAGAGGGACCCAUCAAACUUUUCUCUGUUAAGAUCAAGAAACCCAUCAAGACAAAGUUCCGUCUGCCCGUCUUCAACUGGGUAGCCCUGAAACCAAACCAGAUCAACGGGACUGUCUUUAAUGAGAUUGAUGACGAGAGGAUACUUGAGGACCUGAACGUGGACGAGUUUGAGGAGAUGUUUAAGACUAAGGCCCAGGGCCCGGCUAUUGACCUCACCAUGAGCAAGCAGAAGAUCAUCCAGAAGGGGCCCAACAAGGUGGCGCUAUUGGACUCCAACAGAGCAAAGAACCUGGCCAUCACACUGCGGAAAGUGGGCAAGACUCCUGAGGAGAUCUGCAAGGCCAUUCAGAUUUUUGACCUGCGAACUUUGCCGGUGGACUUCGUAGAGUGUCUGAUGCGCUUCCAGCCAACCGAAAAUGAGAUUAAAAUCCUGCGGCAGUAUGAGAAGGAGCGCAAGCCACUGGAGAGCCUUCCGGACGAGGACCGCUUCAUGAUGCAGUUUAGUAAAAUCGAGCGGCUCAUGCAAAAGAUGACCAUCAUGGCCUUCAUCGGCAACUUCUGUGACAGCGUGCAGAUGCUCACACCGCAAAUUCAUGCAGUCAUCGCAGCAUCUGUGUCCAUCAAGUCCUCACAGAAACUAAAGAAAAUUCUAGAGAUCAUCUUGGCUCUCGGAAACUACAUGAACAGCAGCAAAAGAGGAGCCGUGUACGGAUUCAAGCUGCAAAGUUUGGACUUGCUACUGGAUACCAAGUCGACAGACCGUAAGAUGACGUUGUUACACUACAUAGCCAAUGUGGUGAAGGAGAAAUACUCACAAGUUUCUCUGUUCUACAACGAGCUGCACUACGUGGAGAAAGCUGCAGCAGUGUCGUUGGAGAACGUCCUGCUGGAUGUUAAGGAGCUGCAGAGAGGCAUGGAGCUGACCAAAAGAGAGUACAGCAUGCACGGCCACAACACCAUGCUCAAAGACUUCAUCGCACACAAUGAGAACAAGUUGAAGAAGCUGCAGGAUGAUGCCAAGAUUGCACAGGAUGCCUUUGACGAGGCAGUGAAGUUUUUCGGGGAGAACUCUAAAACAACGCCACCCUCUGUCUUCUUCCCUGUGUUUGUGCGAUUUGUGAGGGCUUACAGGCAAGCAGAAGAAGACAACGAGCAGAAAAAGAGAGCAGAGCAGAUUUUGAUGGAGAAACUUCUAGAACAGGAGGCCAUGAUGGAGGAAGACCAGAAGUCACCUCAUAAGAACAAACGGCAGCAGCAAGAGCUGAUCCAGGAGCUCAGGAAGAAACAGGUUAAAGACAGUCGCCACGUCUACGAAGGCAAAGAUGGAGCGAUUGAGGACAUCAUCACGGUGCUGAAGACAGUGCCCUUUACCGCCCGCACAGCCAAGCGAGGCUCUCGGUUCUUCUGCGAGCCCGCCCUCAAUGACGAGUACCAUUACUAAGCUUGUAGAACUGUCUCUCUGCUCUAAGGUUGCUGGAACAAAAACAUUAUCUUCUUUAUGUCUCUCUCUUUCCUCCACUCUUGCAUGCCUCUUCACACGUUCCUCCUUCUUUUAACCACCACACUCAACCCUCACAUUUUCGGACCCUUGUGUGUGCACAUUGUCCACCUUAUGGUUUUUGCACACAAGCCUGAGCGUACGUUUGUGCGUGUGUUAACGUUUUCUCCCUUCUUAGCAUGACUUGGUGUCGGUGGAAUGUUUUUCUUUGCCCACCUGCAUGAAGUGUGACACCCUGAUUUAUCACUGUUGUUUAAUCAACCAUGGCAUAUCAUAAUGUCACAGAGGAUCACAGAUCUCCAAGAUUAUACUCUUAUGUGCACUGACAGGAGAUUAAAAUUGGUGAAGAGCGUACUUCUUCUCAUCAAGUACUGGAGCAGAAACGUUAAGCUGCGUGCUGCCAUCUAGUGGGGAAAGAUGGCUGACUCAUGCAUCGAAUACCUUAGGAUUUAUCAUUGGAUUCUAAUUUAAUCAUUUAAUUUAAUGUAGUGAAGCUUCAGUCGUCAUCUACACGGCAGGUAUGGCUGAUGACAUGAUUGUGUAAGUGCCUGUGGCAUUAUAAUUUGCUUUGUGUUUCAACCAAUGUCUUAAUUAAAAAUGAAUGUGUGUGUGUUUAUCACAUAUCAUUACUGCUGUUAAUACAGCUUCUUGUAUGCUGAUUGCUUCAUCACGAACGCUUUCCCACAAUGCAUCCCUGCUCUCCCAUUCAGCCCAUUUGCUGUGCCUGCUCCUGUCGCCUGCUGACAGGUCACCUAGCUGUCAUGACUCUCUGUGGUGUCGCAAGCUCACUAAUAUCCUGCAUGACAUCAACAUAUGAAUAAUCACUUAACAUUGCAGCAGUCUGUCUUUGCAGUUGUAAUCUAAUUGUGUGCUACUAACAUGCAGCCAGGUUGUUUACAGCUGUUUAAGUGUAACCCAAUCAUUAGUUGUUUCCCUGGCUGCACGCAUGCGUUGGUUGGUGUUUUGGUCAAGUUGCUGGUGAAUGUAAUAAUCCUGCUGUGUCCUGAAACCACAUUUGUUUAUUUAAGUUCACAAUUGCACUGCAUUAGAAGUUUACAACUUAGAAGCUCAUUUUCUGUCCUGCUGGUAGCCACUCCGCAAAGCAGACUGAGUUUAUAACACAGAAAAAAAAGAUCUUCCACUCCAUCCUCCAGCUCUGUCUCCACUCAUGCCCUGACCCUCCUCUGGCCCUUUUCUCCAUGCAGCCUGCUGCCACUUUGCUUUGCUCGCGCAGUGCUCUCUAAGCAAAGCCAGUGUGAAUAUGUCAGGCUGACAUGCUCUGGUCAGCCUCCUGCUCCUCCAUUUUUAACCUCCCUUUUGUCUUCUCUUCAUCUAGCCCUAAAGAAGAAUAAUAUAACUAAAUUUCCCAAUGUCUACUCGAGGAUUUGAGGAAUCAGCCUUACAGGCGAGCAGAUGCUGUGCGGAGGAGCGUCAGGAGACGCUUUGAUGAUCAGAACCUGCGGCCGGUGAACAAUGGUGAAGUGAUGAUGUGACGAGGGAAGAUAGAGCACGUGCUGUUGGGGACUGAAGAUACUGAGGAUGUGUAAGAGAGGGAGAGACAGGAGGUUGGAUGCAGAGUGAGGGAUGGUAAGUGAAAGGUGACGAGUGUAGCAACCAUAGCGAUGUAUGUAUGUGUGUGUGUGUGUGUGUAUAUAAAUUUUACAUACAGUAGGAAUACACAUUAUUCCAUGUCUGUGGUAUAGAAGCAGCUUUUCACCAUGAAGGACCGGGAGCUGUAUUGGACUGCAUUUAAAGUGUCUGAAAAGUUGAUUCAGAAACCAAGUGCCUGAACUUGUGGGCUAAUGUCACGCUGUCUUCUGUUUGUCUGAUGACUGUACUAUUCCCCACUUCAAGCAAUACAAUUGGACCAGGUUUUUAAUUUUAAGAUGUGUAAAACUGGACUUGUGGUGGCCUUAAAAGCCACGUGAAGAGAUACUUCCUUGGAAACAUAAUGUAGAAUGUAUGGGACACGUUCCCUUUAGCUGUUACAAGCAUUACAUCUUGUAGCGUUUGACAGUCUGUUGUAUCUCAAUACAUUCCGGUGCUCUUUUUCAUUCCUCUUGUUAUACAAACGUGCUCAACUUGCACUUUUUGCAUCUGAGGUUUUUCAACUUUGACUAAUAGGCUUGACGUUCAGGCAUGAAGAAGGUGAUCAGAAAAGUAAUUAAAUAUCUAUAUUUGUACUAAAGUAAGUUUUAAGGAUGAUGAGGAAUGAACGGAAAAGACAAAACCAUUUCAAAACAAGACUGGGCUAAUGUGAAUUGUAUAUACCAGGCCUCUCUCCAUGCUGACUUCUCUUCCAUAAUUUGUUAUUUCAGUUAAUGGAUAAAGUCUGAAAUUGUAGCCCUUAACCCGUAGAAGUAGGCCGUCUGCUCACAUAAAACUCUACCGUCCAUUUAAAAUGUUGCAUUUCUGUAGCAGCAGAGCAGUUUGUCUGAUGUCUGGGAACAAAUUACAAGCCAAUGAGCCUGUAAAACAACAUAAAACCCAUUUUCUACCAAAUGUAGAAACUGCAUGAAAGAUACUGAACCCAACUGGAUAUAAGGUUUUCAUCUCUGUCAACCUAUUUUUAUUUUUUUUUACAGAUUAGUCAUAUUCCAGGCUACAGCGUCUACUCACUUUAUUGUAAUUUUUAUGUAUAGUAUUUAACCACUGAAAGGAUUGCUUUAAGCUCAUGUUUUCAUUUAACGUGCCCAUGGUCAUCAGAAACCUGGCAAAACAAAAGUUUCCUAAAUGUACAGAUAUUUUGCAACAAAUCUUUUUUUUUUUUUUUACUUAAUUCACAUUACCAGAUGGUUAAUAUUGUACAUAUUGUUUAAACAAAAGUUUUCAUUGCCUUGUGUUAUACAACUUGAAUGUUAUUUUAACUUAUAGUUUUUGUUUUCCAUUUUUUGUAUAUUUAAUUAAGCCAAAUGCAGCCAGAACCGACAGUCGUGUUACAUCCUAAUAGUCUCAUGGUGAUGCAGGAGGCUGACUUUGCUUGUGGGUGUGUCACAGGUGCAUCAAAGCCAGCU
Etheostoma spectabile (orangethroat darter) is the source of this 6882-nucleotide RNA transcript. It is a transcript of the gene named formin-like 2a, with no coding region annotated. NCBI's taxonomy places the organism in Eukaryota, Metazoa, Chordata, Actinopteri, Perciformes, Percidae. The transcript has 31 exons. The record is from RefSeq and is a predicted model, not a curated record.